RNAcentral lists this ribosomal RNA (588 nucleotides) under uncultured bacterium. Its description in RNAcentral is "bacterial SSU rRNA". It matches the Rfam family "Bacterial small subunit ribosomal RNA", at positions 338 to 916 of the family's 1533-position model. The record is from RNAcentral.
CCUACGGGAGGCAGCAGUGGGGAAUAUUGCACAAAUGGGGGAAACCCUGAUGCAGCCAUGCCGCGUGUGUGAAGAAGGCCUUCGGGUUGUAAAGCACUUUCAGUUGUGAGGAAAAGUUAGUAGUUAAUACCUGCUAGCCGUGACGUUAACAACAGAAGAAGCACCGGCUAACUCCGUGCCAGCAGCCGCGGUAAUACGGAGGGUGCGAGCGUUAAUCGGAAUUACUGGGCGUAAAGCGCACGCAGGCGGUUUGUUAAGCUAGAUGUGAAAGCCCCGGGCUCAACCUGGGAUGGUCAUUUAGAACUGGCAGACUAGAGUCUUGGAGAGGGGAGUGGAAUUCCAGGUGUAGCGGUGAAAUGCGUAGAUAUCUGGAGGAACAUCAGUGGCGAAGGCGACUCCCUGGCCAAAGACUGACGCUCAUGUGCGAAAGUGUGGGUAGCGAACAGGAUUAGAUACCCUGGUAGUCCACACCGUAAACGCUGUCUACUAGCUGUUUGUGACUUUAAGUCGUGAGUACCGAAGCUAACGCGAUAAGUAAACCGCCUGGGGAGACCUUGCCGCAAGGUUAAAACUCAAAKGAAUUGACGG